Molecule: ribosomal RNA, 451 nt
Filed under: uncultured bacterium
Lineage: Bacteria
Description: bacterial SSU rRNA
Rfam family: Bacterial small subunit ribosomal RNA
Source: RNAcentral
AGUUUGAUCAGUGGCUCAGAACAACGCUGGCGGCAUGCCUAACACAUGCAAGUCGAACGAGACCUUCGGGUCUAGUGGCGCACGGGUGCGUAACACGUGGGAAUUUGCCUCGGGGUAUGGAAUAACUCAGGGAAACUUGAGCUAAUACCAUAUAAUGUCUUCGGACCAAAGAUUUAUCGCCCUGAGAUAAGCCCGCGUAGGAUUAGCUAGUUGGUGGGGUAAAGGCUCACCAAGGCGACGAUCCUUAGCUGGUCUGAGAGGAUGAUCAGCCACACUGGGACUGAGACACGGCCCAGACUCCUACGGGAGGCAGCAGUGGGGAAUAUUGGACAAUGGGCGAAAGCCUGAUCCAGCAAUGCCGCGUGAGUGAUGAAGGCCUUCGGGUUGUAAAGCUCUUUUACUCGGGACGAUAAUGACGGUACCGAGAGAAUAAGCCCCGGCUAACUCCGUG